Molecule: long non-coding RNA, 360 nt
Organism: Stegostoma tigrinum
Lineage: Eukaryota; Metazoa; Chordata; Chondrichthyes; Orectolobiformes; Stegostomatidae
Exons: 3
Source: RefSeq, a predicted model, not a curated record
GAUUCGCGGGGAAGGAGUGUUUUGUCUCCCUGCUCAGUCUACAUCAACGGGUACUGCUGACAUACGGUGGACUAAGCGAGUGGGGGCACUCACGGUACAUACUUCGAAAUAACCUAUCAUUGUGCACCAUGCUUUAAGCUGUGAGAAGUCUAGCUUUAUGUAGUGACUUAUCAAAGGUGCCUGUUCCUGCAAAGGGAUCUUGUAUAUAUCUUUGCAUCAUUUUCUGCCAGCUCACCAGCCGGGGAGUCUGAGGCCAACAGACAGAAGAACUUGGCUCUGGCUCCCUGCUAGCAUUUGUCAAAUGAUAAUGUAUAUUAAGAAAUAGUACAAUCAAAGUGCUGGUUAUUUUAAUAUUUUGAG